This 210-nucleotide long non-coding RNA is filed under the name Elaeis guineensis (African oil palm). RNAcentral's name for it is "long non-coding RNA (EGUI_LNC048370)". The record is from RNAcentral. Lineage: Eukaryota; Viridiplantae; Streptophyta; Magnoliopsida; Arecales; Arecaceae.
UCUAUUUUGAUCAAAGACUUUCUGAAUCAUCAAUCGAUCGGAGUAAGUAGAAUGCGAUCUCUUCUUAUCAAGAGUGAUCGAUUCCAUAUUGAUCUAUUCACAAUCUCCAUACACAUUCUACCAUUUCUAGAUCACCCUGUAUAUGACUAAGUCAUGAAUGAGUAUGAAUUAAAAUAUGGAUUCAUAUAUAUAAGGUUCUAUGAUAGUCUC